GUUGCUCCUGUGUCAAUGUAGUGCGUGUUGUUUGUUUGCAUUGCAUUGCACAGUACACGACACGAUAAGAGCACGCGCGCAAUUGUGGCUUCCUUCUGUUCGAGGAACUUUCACACU
This 117-nucleotide non-coding RNA is filed under the name Platyophrya macrostoma. The record is from RNAcentral. Lineage: Eukaryota; Ciliophora; Colpodea; Cyrtolophosidida; Platyophryidae.